AAAAACAUUUUGCUAAACCUUCUCAAUUGAUUUCUUUGAUUACAUAUGUAAUAACUUUUUAAUGGGCUUUAAAGCAUAAUUCUGAGGAGGAAUCAACAGACCUCUCCAGACUGCCAGAGGGGUCCAUAGGUCAGACAGUGUUAAGCUCCCCCAGGCCUCCUGCAGGGUUCCCCACAGGCAGUGGCCUGACUUGUCCAGAAACAGAACACUCUGCUAGACAAAACACGUAGUAGGAAAUGGAAUGGGGAGAAGAAGGAAAAAACAAGGGAAGAAAGAAAAGAAAUGGGCCAGGGAGGGUGCAGGAGGCAGAUUUCACCAAAACCCAAAGAAAUCCACUCACGGCUGUGGAAAACUCAACCUUUAUUAUUACCUGCCUAGUGCAGGGGAUUAAAAUAGCAUUGAGCUAGAUCCAUAUAUUAGUGUAAAAAUCUGUGUCUCUCCCCCCAAAAAAAUGUACAAACCCCAAGUGAUUAUAGAAAAACCAGUGUGGCAGCUAUGAUAGAGAUUUCCAACCCCAGGGCCACAGGCUGUUGCUCUGUCUUUCCCCCUAAUCCCGAUACUUAUUCCACAUAAACAUACAGGCUUAGAGAAGUUCUAGCUACAACACGGCAGGUGGGAAGUGGGGAGGCUGGGGGGUGGGGGGCAGGGAUCACCCCCAGGUCCAGUGUUUUCAGAGGAUGAAGUAGAGAGAGGCCAAAGCUGAGGGCAGUUCCAGGAGGAGGCACAAGGGAACCCCUUUCUCCCAUUCUUGUCCUCCUCACUCCCCAAAUUCUCAGCCAGUGGGGUCCAGUGUGUGACGGAGACAGAGAGGCUGGGGGGGGGGGGGGGGUGGCCACAGCCUUUUCUCCAGGAACCAGUGUUGUCCAGUGGGGCCCAGGUGCUCCUGUGGGCCAGGUCCAGUGUCUGCCCUAUAUUUUCCCCUCCCCUCCCCCAAGGGAUGGCUAGAGGAGGUCAGAGAGGAUCCCAUCCACAGGGCCAGCUGGGUGGGCGGCAGGGGCUUCUAGGAAAGAAGCAGGAAGUGGGCAUGAGAGCAUGUCCGGGGAAGGGAGGGCGUCGGCUCCCUGGCAGGCCCAGCCCACCUGCAGCCACACUGCCUCUCCCAGAGGUGAAGGGCGGUCGGGAGGGGAAUGGAGUGGAGGUGCUGUUAGGUCCUCUUGUCUAGUGCCGCUGGCCUCCCCUGAAUCCUCCCUGCGGGAG
This 1197-nucleotide long non-coding RNA is filed under the name Sus scrofa (pig). RNAcentral describes it as "lncRNA (ENSSSCG00005030316.1)". The record is from RNAcentral. Lineage: Eukaryota; Metazoa; Chordata; Mammalia; Artiodactyla; Suidae.